This 119-nucleotide ribosomal RNA is filed under the name Segatella copri. RNAcentral describes it as "partial 23S ribosomal RNA". It matches the Rfam family "Bacterial large subunit ribosomal RNA", at positions 2794 to 2925 of the family's 2925-position model. Lineage: Bacteria; Pseudomonadati; Bacteroidota; Bacteroidia; Bacteroidales; Prevotellaceae. The record is from RNAcentral.
CAGCCGCAAGAUGAGAACUCCAUUGAGGGUCGUCAGAGACGAUGACGUUGAUAGGAUGCAGGUGUAAAGACAGCGAUGUCAAAGCCGAGCAUUACUAAUUGCCCGAACACUUUCUUUAG